GGGUNUAAAGAGUGCGCAGGCGGUCUGUAGUACGAGAUGUGGAAAUACCCGGGCGUUAACCUGGGACUGCGUUUGAAACUGCAGAGCUAGAGUGCGGCAGAGGGAGGUGGAAUUCCAUGUGUAGCAGUGAAAUGCGUAGAGAUAUGGAAGAACAUCGAUGGCGAAGGCAACCUCCUGGGCUAGCACUGACGCUCAUGCACGAAAGCGUGGGGAGCAAACAGGAUUAGAUACCCUGGUAGUCCACGCCCUAAACUAUGUCAACUAGUUGUCGGGUCUUAAUAGACUUGGUAACGUAGCUAACGCGUGAAGUUGACCCGCCUGGGGAGUACCGGUCGCAAGAUUAAAAACC
This 349-nucleotide ribosomal RNA is filed under the name uncultured bacterium. Its description in RNAcentral is "bacterial SSU rRNA". It matches the Rfam family "Bacterial small subunit ribosomal RNA", at positions 556 to 902 of the family's 1533-position model. The record is from RNAcentral.